Molecule: non-coding RNA, 104 nt
Organism: Acanthosepion pharaonis
Lineage: Eukaryota; Metazoa; Mollusca; Cephalopoda; Sepiida; Sepiidae
Source: the annotation of a GenBank genome assembly
UUACGGCCACAUCACGUUAAAACACUAGCUCAGUUACGAUCACCGAAGUUAAGCAACAUCAAGCCUGGUCAGUACCUCGAUAGGUGACCGCUUGGGAAUACCAG